RNAcentral lists this ribosomal RNA (253 nucleotides) under uncultured bacterium. RNAcentral's name for it is "partial 16S ribosomal RNA". It matches the Rfam family "Bacterial small subunit ribosomal RNA", at positions 524 to 776 of the family's 1533-position model. The record is from RNAcentral.
UACGUAGGGUCCGAGCGUUGUUCGGAAUUACUGGGCGUAAAGGGCUCGUAGGCGGUCUGUUGCGUCGGGAGUGAAAACUUACAGCUUAACUGUGAGCGUGCUUCCGAUACUGGCAGACUUGAGGUAUUCAGGGGAGAACGGAAUUCCUGGUGUAGCGGUGAAAUGCGCAGAUAUCAGGAGGAACACCGGUGGCGAAGGCGGUUCUCUGGGAAUAUCCUGACGCUGAGGAGCGAAAGUGUGGGGAGCGAACAGG